CAGGCUUAACAAUGCAAGUCGAGGGGUAACAUUGUGCUUGCACAGAUGACGACCGGCGCACGGGUGCGUAACGCGUAUAGAACCUACCUUUUACAGAGGAAUAGCCUUUAGAAAUGAAGAUUAAUGCCUCAUGGUAUUGUAGACUGGCAUCAGUUUAUAAUUAAAGAUUUAUCGGUAAAAGAUGGCUAUGCGUCCUAUUAGUUAGUUGGUAAGGUAACGGCUUACCAAGACAGCGAUAGGUAGGGGUCCUGAGAGGGAGAUCCCCCACACUGGUACUGAGACACGGACCAGACUCCUACGGGAGGCAGCAGUGAGGAAUAUUGGACAAUGGAGGAGACUCUGAUCCAGCCAUGCCGCGUGUAGGAAGAAUGCCCUAUGGGUUGUAAACUACUUUUAUACAGGAAGAAACACUGGUAUGUAUACCAGCUUGACGGUACUGUAAGAAUAAGGACCGGCUAAC
Molecule: ribosomal RNA, 460 nt
Filed under: uncultured Polaribacter sp.
Lineage: Bacteria; Pseudomonadati; Bacteroidota; Flavobacteriia; Flavobacteriales; Flavobacteriaceae
Description: bacterial SSU rRNA
Rfam family: Bacterial small subunit ribosomal RNA
Source: RNAcentral